GCUUGCAUUAAUUUGAUGUGCAUCCAUCUUAAUUCAAGUUGAUCCAUUUCAGUCUUGGCAGCACACUGAUAGCAAAUGGGAACGAAACGACAUUCGACAAACUCCGCCGCACCAGCAAAAGCAGGGACCAGACAGGAAACCUGGGGUCAUCUCCUGGAAUCAGCUCCUGGGCUGCAGCUCUGUCCUUAGAUUUGUUUCAAAUUCUGACCCAUAAAGAGGAAUGGGUUGUGGAUAAAAUAUUCUGCUUUCAAGCACAGAAUUCAGCUCCUCCAUGAAAGAGAAUAAACCAGUGACACAAACAUCAAGGUGCCACGCUCCUGCAAUUUGUUACUUCAAUCUGCAAUGUUCAGACUCAGCUGUGACUGCGAACUCAUCAUGGUUAAAAGCUGCCACCCUGUCCUUGCAUGGUGCCACGGGGCUUGAUUGGAAGUGGGUUUUGCUCCAUGAACAGGGCUCAGCAGCCAGAGGAGGUUCAUACCUUCCUACCUAACCCCGAAGUGGUUUUUCUCCUAUUCCAUCGCCAUCUCGUGGUUUCCUGCAAAAACUGCUGUCGCUGCAGAACGCCUCGCACCAGCAGCUCCUGGUUGC
This is a long non-coding RNA of Dryobates pubescens (Downy woodpecker), 588 nucleotides long. RefSeq lists it as uncharacterized. Lineage: Eukaryota; Metazoa; Chordata; Aves; Piciformes; Picidae. The record is from RefSeq and is a predicted model, not a curated record. The transcript is spliced from 4 exons.